Molecule: ribosomal RNA, 1271 nt
Filed under: Providencia rettgeri
Lineage: Bacteria; Pseudomonadati; Pseudomonadota; Gammaproteobacteria; Enterobacterales; Morganellaceae
Description: partial 23S ribosomal RNA
Rfam family: Bacterial large subunit ribosomal RNA
Source: RNAcentral
GACGAGUCACUACGGUGAUGAAGUAGCUCAUGCCCCGCUUCCAGGAAAAGCCUCUAAGCUCUAGAUUAUCAUUAAUCGUACCCCAAACCGACACAGGUGGUCAGGUAGAGAAUACUCAGGCGCUUGAGAGAACUCGGGUGAAGGAACUAGGCAAAAUGGUGCCGUAACUUCGGGAGAAGGCACGCUGGCAUUAGGUGAAGUGAUUUACUCAUGGAGCUGAAGCCAGUCGCAGAUACCAGCUGGCUGCAACUGUUUAUUAAAAACACAGCACUGUGCAAACACGAAAGUGGACGUAUACGGUGUGACGCCUGCCCGGUGCUGGAAGGUUAAUUGAUGGGGUUAUCCGUAAGGAGAAGCUCUUGAUCGAAGCCCCAGUAAACGGCGGCCGUAACUAUAACGGUCCUAAGGUAGCGAAAUUCCUUGUCGGGUAAGUUCCGACCUGCACGAAUGGCGUAAUGAUGGCCAGGCUGUCUCCACCCGAGACUCAGUGAAAUUGAACUCGCUGUGAAGAUGCAGUGUACCCGCGGCAAGACGGAAAGACCCCGUGAACCUUUACUAUAGCUUGACACUGAACAUUGAGCCUUGAUGUGUAGGAUAGGUGGGAGGCUUUGAAGUGUGGACGCCAGUCUGCAUGGAGCCAACCUUGAAAUACCACCCUUUAAUGUUUGAUGUUCUAACGUAGCCCCGUUAUCCGGGGUGCGGACAGUGUCUGGUGGGUAGUUUGACUGGGGCGGUCUCCUCCCAAAGAGUAACGGAGGAGCACGAAGGUUGGCUAAGCAUGGUCGGACAUCAUGCGGUUAGUGCAAAGGCAUAAGCCAGCUUGACUGCGAGAGUGACGGCUCGAGCAGGUACGAAAGUAGGUCUUAGUGAUCCGGUGGUUCUGAAUGGAAGGGCCAUCGCUCAACGGAUAAAAGGUACUCCGGGGAUAACAGGCUGAUACCGCCCAAGAGUUCAUAUCGACGGCGGUGUUUGGCACCUCGAUGUCGGCUCAUCACAUCCUGGGGCUGAAGUAGGUCCCAAGGGUACGGCUGUUCGCCGUUUAAAGUGGUACGCGAGCUGGGUUUAGAACGUCGUGAGACAGUUCGGUCCCUAUCUGCCGUGGGCGUUGGAAGAUUGAAAGGGGCUGCUCCUAGUACGAGAGGACCGGAGUGGACGCACCACUGGUGUUCGGGUUGUCAUGCCAAUGGCAUUGCCCGGUAGCUAAGUGCGGAAGAGAUAACCGCUGAAAGCAUCUAAGCGGGAAACUUGCCUUGAGAUGAGUCUUCCCUGAC